AGAACGAACGCUGGCGGCAUGCCUAAUACAUGCAAGUCGAACGAACACUUCGGUGUUAGUGGCGCACGGGUGCGUAACGCGUGGGAAUCUGCCCUUGGGUUCGGAAUAACAGUUGGAAACGACUGCUAAUACCGGAUGAUAUCGAAAGAUCAAAGAUUUAUCGCCCAGGGAUGAGCCCGCGUAGGAUUAGCUAGUUGGUGAGGUAAGGCUCACCAAGGCGACGAUCCUUAGCUGGUCUGAGAGGAUGAUCAGCCACACUGGGACUGAGACACGGCCCAGACUCCUACGGAGGCAGCAGUGGGGAAUAGUUGGACAAGUGGGCGAAAGCCGUGAAUCCAGGACAAUCGGCCGUCGUGACGUAGAAGAACGGUCCGUUCGGGUUUAGGUAAAGU
RNAcentral lists this ribosomal RNA (392 nucleotides) under uncultured soil bacterium. Its description in RNAcentral is "bacterial SSU rRNA". It matches the Rfam family "Bacterial small subunit ribosomal RNA", at positions 26 to 431 of the family's 1533-position model. The record is from RNAcentral.